GUACCUAGUAACCAACUGUAACGUCAUAUAGGUUGGGUGGUAAUGGGUCUCAAAGCAACAAACAUUACUGCGUACAAGGAUUGCAUAGCCCUAUUCAGAAACUGAAAACUUGGUACAUUUACCAAAAUCCGGGCGAUCAUGUACAUUGCGCUUUAUGAUCACUAGGCGAGGCUAUUUGGGGUGAACAUGGGAAUUCAAUGUUCAAUUAUAAACCCAAAACGACAUGC
This 227-nucleotide long non-coding RNA is filed under the name Malus domestica (apple). RNAcentral's name for it is "long non-coding RNA (MDOM_LNC003238)". Lineage: Eukaryota; Viridiplantae; Streptophyta; Magnoliopsida; Rosales; Rosaceae. The record is from RNAcentral.